AGCGAACGCUGGCGGCAGGCCUAACACAUGCAAGUCGAACGAACUCUUCGGAGUUAGUGGCGGACGGGUGAGUAACACGUGGGAACGUGCCUUUUGGUUCGGAAUAACUCAGGGAAACUUGUGCUAAUACCGAAUGUGCCCUUCGGGGGAAAGAUUUAUCGCCAUUAGAGCGGCCCGCGUCUGAUUAGCUAGUUGGUGAGGUAACGGCUCACCAAGGCGACGAUCAGUAGCUGGUCUGAGAGGAUGACCAGCCACACUGGGACUGAGACACGGCCCAGACUCCUACGGGAGGCAGCAGUGGGGAAUCUUGCGCAAUGGGCGAAAGCCUGACGCAGCCAUGCCGCGUGAAUGAUGAAGGUCUUAGGAUUGUAAAAUUCUUUCACCGGGGACGAUAAUGACGGUACCCGGAGAAGAAGCCCUGGCUAACUUCGUG
RNAcentral lists this ribosomal RNA (433 nucleotides) under uncultured bacterium. RNAcentral's name for it is "partial 16S ribosomal RNA". It matches the Rfam family "Bacterial small subunit ribosomal RNA", at positions 29 to 507 of the family's 1533-position model. The record is from RNAcentral.